Molecule: long non-coding RNA, 7633 nt
Organism: Mus musculus (house mouse)
Lineage: Eukaryota; Metazoa; Chordata; Mammalia; Rodentia; Muridae
Product: predicted gene, 30388
Exons: 2
Source: RefSeq, a predicted model, not a curated record
GCUUGAGGGUGGAGGAACGGGCGAAGGCCUGGCCGCAUUCAGCACAAGGAAAUGGCCUCUCGCCAGUGUGGAUGCGCUGGUGGCGCAGCAGACGCGAGGGCUGCGCGAAGGUUACACCGCAGUCGGUGCAUUUGAAGGGCCUCUGGCCGGUGUGCAGCGUCUGGUGCUCCUGCAGGUUAGAGGAUUUGGUGAAGCACUUGCCGCAGGUGGAGCAGGGGAAGGGCCGCUCGCCCGAGUGCACGCGCUGAUGCUCCACCAUGCGGCUGGCCACGGAGAACUCGCGGCCGCAGGAGGAGCAGCGGAAGGGCUUGGCGCCCAGGUGUGUGCGCUGGUGGCGCAGCAGUGACAGUGGCCUGUUGAAGGUCAAGCCGCACUGGGCACACGGGAAGGGCUUGUCAUUGCUGUGCAUGUUGCGCUGGUGUUUGCGCAGAUCGGAGGAGCGCACAAAAGCCCUGCCGCAGUCCGGGCACCCAUAGGGUUUCUCGCCCGUGUGAGUGCGGAUAUGCUUGCGGUGAUCGGAGGACCAGGUGUACGCCUUGUCGCAGAAGGGACACCGGUAUGGCCGCUCGCCUGUGUGUAGGCGCCGGUGCUGCUGCAGCGUGCUGCGAUGGGAGUAGGCCUUCCCACACAGUUGGCACACGUAGGGCUUGGAGCCAUGAUGUUCCGCGGGGACCUGAACUUUGGUGGACUUCUGGAAGGCCCGCACACACCUAUCGAGACCCUCCUCUUCCUGCCCGCUGCCUUCUGGGCCCGCCUGGCCCUGGACUUUUCUACUGCUCCGUACUUUUACUAACAGGCUGGCAGGAAUGGUUGGAGUCUGAACUAGUGUACUCUCAGACCUGGGAAAGUGCUCCAGAGAGUUCUUGUCUAGGGAAGAUGCCUCAACACUGUUCUGUGCCUCAAAAUACCCUCCACUGUCCAAGAAGCUGUUCGGGACUUCUGAGGCUGGGUCCUUAUUUGCCUUCUUGCCUCCGUCACUGCCCACGGAGUCCCUAAGGGGCUGUAUCUGAACUUUGUGUAAUAAACUUCUGGAAGGGGCACCAAGAGCCUCCUGUAAUUUGGGGGAGUCUCGAAUCUGGGUGAUCCUCGAUGCCUUUUUCCCCCCGUUGCUGGUCUUCCCAGGCAUCUCCCCAGGUUUCUGCGCCACACACCCAGCACUGAAGCACUCAGGCCAGUUCUCUUCCUCUUUGCAGGACUGAGUGUCAAACUGCGAGUCGGUGUUGUUCUGAGUUCCUGGGGAGCCACCCUUCCUACCAUCCUCUUCUUCACUCUCCAAGCUCAUUCUCAGCAUCUGAGUGCUGCCAAGGGGCACCUUGGUCCACCUAUCCUGGGAGUCCACCUGUGCCAUGGUGCCUCUUCUAUUGCCUGCUCCUCCCAGAAAGAGCCUUCGCUUGGCUCACAGCGCCUGCAGAAAGCGAGGGUGAGGGAGGGAUGUUGGAGGAACAAACAACAGAAAGUAUAACCUCUGACUAAUUUCCAUUUGCCAUGAGAUCUCCAUGUGAAACUUCCCAGACUCCUCUUUGUUUUUGAGGAUGUGUUGGCAUUGAUACCAUCUUGAUGGUAGGUGACAGGCAUCCUUGUGAUACAUAAGAUCUGAAGUGGCCCAGAUGCUACUUACAUCAUGAGGUAAUGCGAGCCCAUUAUGUUUCUGAGUUCCUGCCCUGCUAUGCCCCCUGAGUCAAAUGCUUUGAUCUUUUCUGCCUGAGAUUCUUCACCAUAUUAAUGGCCUGCACACAGAGGGUCUGGGACCCCUGAGAACUGAACUCUAGAAUAUCUUGUAUCGUGUGUCCUUUGCAUACCUUUCACAUCACAAGCACAUUCACUGUCUCACUUCAUCUCCAUGAGCUUCCUCUAAGCUACAAGGCAUGGAGAGUUGGCCUCGACACCCUCUGCCCUUCUUUUAAGAACUUCUGGAAGCCGUGGAGGUAGCUCAGUUGGUAAAAUGCUUGUCAUGUGACUUUGGAUCCCCAGCAUCCACAUAAAAAGCCAGACAUAGCUGAGCAUCUAAUUCCAGAUGCUGAGGCAGCAGAGACAGGGGGAUCCCUUGGACUUUGUGGCUAGCCAGUUUAUCGGUAAAUUCCAGGUUAUUGAGAGACUGAAAAAAAUUCAAGGUGGAGAAGCAAUCGAAGAAGACAUUCAGUUUUAACCCUUGACCUACAUGUGUAUGUACACACUUAUCUCCACAUAAACACAUACAAAAACACAUACAAAAACAUAUAAAACAAACAAACAAACAAACUUCUGGAAUCUCUCAUUCUAUCCAGCGCUUCAUGUAUGCAAACAAGGGGUGUAUUGUCUUAAUUUCUGUUUGCAGGCCUCCUUUAAAAUCUGGUAUCCCCACUCGGCCCCCCUGAGCUGUCCAACUUGGCAGUGGUGCAAAUAAGGACCUGCCUGCUUGUCUGGGAAGAGGGAAGAAAGGAGCCAUUGAGGGAGAAGCCUGAAGCACAGGGAUGGGAUGGGGCAUUGGCCUCCUAAGAGGUUCCGUGGCGGAGUUCAGGCCUUCCUGUCAGCCCCACAGGCUGGAUGAGCACAGCUGAGAGGCACUGCUGGAAAAGAGGCUGCGUUGUCUCUCCACCUUCAAGGAUGCUGCAGGCUCUUGGUUGAAUUCAUGAGCUGGUGUUAUGCCUGGAUGCAGGACUAGAUUGUACUGCCUUACAAGGUCCCUGAGUUUUAGCUAUAGCUUUGAAGCCAGGAUUGCUUCCCCCCAAGUUCUCUGUACUCUGCAGCCAGCGCAGGACUCUGGCUGUUCUCAAAUACUGGGGACACUUGAUGCAUUAGCCCUGGCCCUUUAUCACCCUUGGAAAAGAUUCAUGGAUCCAAUUGAGUGUCCUAUACAUGUUCAAGACUGUCUAAAUAUUAUUAUUCUGCUAGACAAUAAAGCUCAUUAGUAAGAGUAUACACACAAAAAGAAAAACUGUAGACCUCAGAGAAUUCACCACACAGUUUUGAAUUAGAAAGACUUGGCUCUAAACCUCUGUUCUGUUUGUUUUGGUCCUAGUCAAUGUAUUUCACUUUUUCGAGCCUCAGACUUUCCGGCUGUAAAAUAGGAAUAAGAAUACCUUUGUGAGCCAGGCAGUGAUGUCACUCCCCUCUAAUCUCAGCACUUGGGAGGCAGAGAUAGGUGGAUCGCUGAGUUUAGGCCAGCCUGGUCUGCAGAGUAAGUUCCAGGACAGCCAGGACUACACAGAGAAACUCUAUCUCAAACAAAAACAAACAAACAAACAAGCAGAAACCUUCAUGAAGGCAGAGUAUGGUAUCCCAUAUUUGUAAUCUGACUGAGUGAUGCCCCCACCCCACCCCUGCCUCAUGAUUUCUCAAUAAAUUUUAACCCUGACAUCUUAUUCCUGUGCAUCCCCUAGGAGAAGGUAGCUGAUGUCCUUGCCUUAUUCCUACUACUCUAGACACAGCUCUGAAUCACUCUGAUUUUAGAAAAGCCCUUCUUCUGACUCUGCCUCCUGUAUCCUUGGGUCACACCUUCUCACUGAGAGACUAUCCAGUCAUUUGGGGAGAUUUGAGGGCUCCCAAAGUAGUAAUGCCAUAAAUGUGUGCCCUUUGUUGUAUGUUACCUUUGGUGUGUGUGGCAAUUAACGAUGGGGUGGGAGGUUGGUCCUGCAGAUAAGAUGUCAAGCAUUGAAGGGCUUCAUAUGUCAGUUCCUCCAGUAGCUCCUGCAGAACAGUGCCCUGCUGAAAGCCUUCUCUUCCCUACCCAGUCACACUUGCCCCUGCACAAUAAGGUGGCCAGCAUGCUCACCCUGGAACCUAACAGGUAAACCUUUUCUUUACUCCCAACCAAUAUUAAUGACAACGCAAUUUGGGGUGGACAUCACCUCUACCUUCAGUGUAAGUACAGGGACUGCCCCCACCACCACCUCAGGCUCCCACUUUCUGCCUUCCUUCUUUCUUUCUUUGGGUUGUUUGUUUUUAGAUUUUUUUGAAACAGGAACUUUUUGUGUAGCCUUGGCUGUCAUGGAACUCACUAUGUAGACCAUGCCUCCAAAUCAGAAAUCCACCUGCCUCUGCCUCUGAAGUGCUGGGAUUCAAGGAUGUGUGCCACCACCACCUGGCAAGACCAGCCUUCUUUAAAUUCCUCAAGACCCACAUUGCACUGCAGUGGCCCUCCUAAGAAAGCCCCUAGACUGUGAGUAUGAGAGAAUUAGCUACAAGCAAUGGAUUGUUAUUGAGGGAAAACAACAACAACAACAACAAAAACAAAAAACAAAAAACAAAAAACAAACAAAACGAGGCCAAAUAUUCACAGUCUCUUGAAUUAGCUUAACAUGUCAUUGGUCCAAGGAAUAACACACCUUUCCUGGUCACAGAGAUGCCAGGCCUCUUUUAUGUACAUCCCAUCUUGGCUGAGGUGCUUACCCCCAUAUUUGAAUACUUGGUCUCCAGUUAGUAACCCUGUUUGGUUUUGAGAGGUCUAGGAGGUGUGGCUUUGCUGAAGAGAGUGUGUCACUGGGUCAGGCUUUGAGAUUUCAAAAGGAUGUGCUAUUUCCAGUGCAUUGAUUUUCUAUGUAAGCUCUCAGCUGCUGCUCCAGUCACCAUUUCUACCCCCACUCUGCCCUCAUAGACUCUAACUCUCUGGAAAUGUAAGCCCAAAACAAACUCUUUCUUCUAUAAACGGCCUUGGUCAAGGUGCUUUAUCACAGAAGCAGAAUGAUAACUAAAGCAUCAGUCUUGGGACCAUGCAGAAGACAAAAAAUACCACAAAGAAACCUUUGUAAGCCCACUAUACUUUCAGCUCUCCUUUUGCUUUUGCUGAUCUUUCCAGACUCAGGGAGGAGAGAUUUGGGGAGGAUAGAAGAUGCUGCACACCUUUAAUUGGUAGACAAAUUGAAAAAGAAGAUUCUGAUCCUAUGUCCACCGGAAUCUCUUCAUUUGUGAAUUCCUGAAGUCCUGGCGUAUAAUGAAAAUGACAGAGAGAAAUCAAAUGUCAGAAUUCUAAAUGAGAUUUUAGAAAUUAUCUGAUGCAGCCCUCUGUUUUUCAGAUGUUGGAAUACACGUGUUCAUAUGUUUGCUCCAUCAUACAUUCAUUCAUUCACCUAAUAUUUGUUCACCUUCAUUAUUAUGUCAGUGUUUGCCAAACUACCAGACUGAACCUACAUAGGACAGGGAAUGUGGCAGUUAUGGGUCUGGCCCUUCCUUUGUUUGCUUCUUUGUUUCGUGUGUGUGUGUGUGUGUGUGUGUGUGUGUGUGUGUGUGUGUGUGUGUGUGUGUGUGUGUAAACUUGACAUAAACUAGAGUUGCAAGGAGGGAAUUACAGUUGAGAAAAUGAAUCCAUAAGAUUAGGGAAAGGAAGCCUGUGGGGCAUUUUCUUAAUAGGUGACUUAUACGGGAGACUCCAAUACAGUGAAGGUGGUGCUACCCCUGAGCUUAUGGUCUGUGUGUAUAAGAAAGCAGGCUGAUGCACUGCUACUCAAGCAUCCAGGGCCAGGCUGCUGCCAGGAGCUAUGUCUCUUUCUGCAGUCCUAUGGCAGCCUAUAGCAAACUCUAUGAUGUCCCAGACCUGUUACCACCAAAGGCAAUGCGGAUGCCCCUGGUCUGGUCUGCCACCUAAGGCUCGGUGUUGAGCUGGCCUCACCCCUACCUAGGCAACAUAGUAGAGUUGCCGCCUGUGGGAGCUGGGAGAGCAGGCUCUGCCCUUGGCCCUUGCUUCCUUUGGGAAGUGGGAGAGCAGGCCCCACACCUCACCUGGGCUGCACAGUAGAGCUGACCCUGGUGGCAUGGGUGCUGGUGAGACAUGACAUUAGGAGAAGUGGCCCCUGCUCCUUGCCAGUUGUUGUAGCAGAUGAGCUAGCUGGGGCAGUGCUGGAGAGCUUGCCCUAGUGGUGUGAGCCCAGGAUAACUGAUGGGCUGACCAACUCAGGUACCUCCCAUGCCCAGAUCCAAGGCUUUGAGUUGGCCCACCCCAGCAUCUACUCCAUCAAGUGUAAGGCCAAGACCUGCAGAUCCAGUGCUGCAGGAUCUCCAAGACACAGGGCAGUAACAGUAUAUCAGAGAGAACUCCCUGUGAGGAUCUAGUAUUCAUAGAGUAACAGAAACCAGAGGCCUCAAAACAAACCAAUGACUCCUUGGGCAGAGGGUAGAUACAAAGGGAUGGGGACAAGAGUGGGGUUGGAAUGCAUGAAGUGAAAUUCACAAGAAAUCAAUAAAAAGCUGAAAAGAAAGAAAGAAAGGGAAGGAGGGAGGGAGGGAGGGAGGAAACAGCAAGGUAGGGAGGCAAGGUGAAGGAGGUCAAGAGGUCAGGAGUCCUCAGGAAUUUCCAGGUCAAGCCUGUCUAUAGCGCAGGUGUUCCGUGUGACUACGGGGAUGAGGAACUGGAGAUAGCCACUGGAGGGUCCCAGAUGCCAGGGAAGCAAGAGGCUUCCAGGACCCAAUGGGGACGACUUUAGCUGAAAUACGCAGUAAAGAGGAGAUAGAUCCUGUAGAGACCACCUCCAGUGGAUAGGCAUGACCCCCGGUUGAGGGAAUGGGACCACCCAUCCAUUUCAAAGUUUUUAACCAGGAAAUGUUCCUGUCUAAAGGAAAGACAGGGAUUUAAAAAAAAUGGAGCAGAGACUGAAGGAAGGACCAUUGGGAGACCUCCCCAUCCAGGGAUCCAUCCUUGUCUCCAGACACCAAACCCCAGCACUGCUACUAUUACCAAGAGGCACUUGCUGACAGGAACCUGAGGUGGCUGUUCCUUGGGAGGUUCUGCCAGCAACUGAGCAGUGCAGAUGUGGAUGCUUGGAGCCAACCAUCAGGCUGAGCCCGGGAAUCCUGCUCCCCCCAGAGGAGCUGGAGGAAGGCUUGGAGAAGCAGAGGGGGAUUGUAACACCAUAGGAAGAACAAUGUGGGUUGGCCAGAUCAUCCAGUGCUCCCAGGGACUAGACCACCAACCAAGGAGUGUACAGGGAGGGAUCCAUAGCUCCAGAAACAUAUGUAGCAGUGGAUGGCCUUGUCUGACAUCAAUAGGAGGAGAGACCCUUGGUCCUGUGGAGGUUUGAUGCCCCAAUGUAGGUGGAUGUGGGAGUGGUGGGGUAGGAGAGGGUGGGUAGGUGGGGGAGUACCCUCAUAGAGGCAAAGGGCAGGGAGAGAGGGCAGAUGGGGGGGGUUGUGGAGGGGUAACCAGGAAAUGGGCUAUCAUUUGAGAUGUAAAUGAAUGGAAUGAUUAAUAAAAAACAGAAAGAAAGAGAGAGGAAGGAAGGAAGGAAGGAAGGAAGGAAGGAAGGAAGGAAGGAAGGAAGGAGGGAGGGAGGGAGGGAGGGAGGGAGGGAGGGAGGGAGGGAGGGAGGGAAGAAGAAAGCCGAAACUGAGCAUGUUAGCAAAUGUAUUUAAUCCCAGAAGUCAGCCAGCAGUAGGAUCUUUAUGAGUUGAAAGCUGACCUGGUCUCACAGUGAACUCCAAGCUGUAAGCCCAGGGCUACAUAGAGAGACCCCAUCUCCAGAAACAAAAUAAAAUAUAAGCAAACAAAGAGUCAGGCAGAGUAUGCCUGACCAAGCCCUAAGGAACAAACCAAUCAGCAACAUUCCUUCAUGGCUUCAGCUCAGAUCCUGUCUCUAGGUUCCUGCCUCGUGGUUCCUGCCCUGACUUCCUUCUGUGAUGACCUAUGAUAUGGAACUGUACACUGAAAUAAAUCCUUUUCUCCCAA